GACCCCAUCGUCUAGAGGCCUAGGACACUGGCCUUUCACGCCGGCAACACGGGUUCGAAUCCCGUUGGGGUCACCA
This 76-nucleotide transfer RNA is filed under the name Alphaproteobacteria bacterium. RNAcentral's name for it is "tRNA-Glu". It matches the Rfam family "tRNA". Rfam says of the family: Transfer RNA (tRNA) molecules are approximately 80 nucleotides in length. Their secondary structure includes four short double-helical elements and three loops (D, anti-codon, and T loops). RNAcentral also lists the same sequence under 2 other names. Lineage: Bacteria; Pseudomonadati; Pseudomonadota; Alphaproteobacteria. The record is from RNAcentral.